CUCAGUUGCUUCUCUUUGUUGAUAUUCGUUCUUCCACUGUCGUCUGUAUCCUAAUUCUUUUUUAUAACAUCAGCAUAGGGUUCAAGCUUUUCUAAAGCACGCAAACAGAUCUAGGGCUUGAAUUGGUUUGGUGAUAUCUCCGCAACCGCUGGCGUUUCCUACGGUGGUGAAUAACACAUGUUUAAAUCAGAAACCGAAUCAAGUUAUCUAGGGUUUCUUUCUUCUUCUUCUUCUCUGUACCUAUAACCACCACUGCAAAAGGUUCUAAUAUCUGAUCAACACUGGCUGAAGAAGUAAGCUAUUACACAAAUACAAUCUUAUUUUACAAUAUCAAUAGUUCUCGUGAUCCACUCUGCUUCCUGCAUCUAUUCGCAGACCAGAAGGCGUUUUUGAAGCAACCGAAAGUCUUCAUCUGGUUAGAAGCGGACCCUAGACCUCUAAGUUUAGUUCGAAGAAGAGCGGCAAAGGAAAAAGGUCUGGAAAUGGGGAAGUAGUUCCAGAAGAGUAUUGGUCUUGGAUUUAACCUGAGAGAGGCUAUUAAAGUUUCAACGACUCAGAUUAAAGCAACGUACACCUGCUGCUACCAGUGAUGUUCCAUCCACCUUUUUUUCUGCCCAAACUUGGUAGAACUCUAGGGGAAAGCUUCUCUUCAACCCAAAAGAACUCAAAUCACUGAAGCGGAGAUU
This is a long non-coding RNA of Helianthus annuus (common sunflower), 686 nucleotides long. RefSeq lists it as uncharacterized. The record is from RefSeq and is a predicted model, not a curated record. NCBI's taxonomy places the organism in Eukaryota, Viridiplantae, Streptophyta, Magnoliopsida, Asterales, Asteraceae. The transcript has 3 exons.